This 471-nucleotide ribosomal RNA is filed under the name uncultured Glomus. RNAcentral describes it as "SSU rRNA". It matches the Rfam family "Eukaryotic small subunit ribosomal RNA", at positions 623 to 1096 of the family's 1831-position model. The record is from RNAcentral. Lineage: Eukaryota; Fungi; Glomeromycota; Glomeromycetes; Glomerales; Glomeraceae.
AAAGCUCGUAGUUGAAUUUCGGGAUCAAAUUGUUGGUCGUGCUUCGGUACGCACUGGCAUUAUUGGUUCCUACCUUCUGAAGAACCGCGAUGUCAUUAAUUUGGUGUCGUGGGGAAUCAGGACUGUUACUUUGAAAAAAUUAGAGUGUUUAAAGCAGGCGUACGCUUGAAUACAUUAGCAUGGAAUAAUGAAAUAGGACGUUUGAUUCUAUUUUGUUGGUUUCUAGGAUCGACGUAAUGAUUAAUAGGGAUAGUUGGGGGCAUUAGUAUUCAAUUGUCAGAGGUGAAAUUCUUGGAUUUAUUGAAGACUAACUACUGCGAAAGCAUUUGCCAAGGAUGUUUUCAUUAAUCAAGAACGAAAGUUAGGGGAUCGAAGACGAUCAGAUACCGUCGUAGUCUUAACCAUAAACUAUGCCGACUAGGGAUCGGAUGAUGUUAAUUUUUUAAUGACUCAUUCGGCACCUUACGGGAA